This 237-nucleotide ribosomal RNA is filed under the name uncultured bacterium. RNAcentral describes it as "partial 16S ribosomal RNA". It matches the Rfam family "Bacterial small subunit ribosomal RNA", at positions 118 to 354 of the family's 1533-position model. The record is from RNAcentral.
UGAGCAAUCUGCCCUUCUCUUCGGAGUAAGCGUUGGAAACGACGUCUAAUGCCGAAUACGACCUCCUUUCACAUGAUCGGAGGUGGAAAGCUCCGGCGGAGAAGGAUGAGCUCGCGGCCUAUCAGCUAGUUGGUGUGGGUAACGGCCCACCAAGGCGACGACGGGUAGCCGGCCUGAGAGGGUGACCGGCCACACUGGGACUGAGACACGGCCCAGACUCCUACGGGAGGCAGCAGG